AGAACGAACGCUGGCGGCAAGCCUAACACAUGCAAGUCGAACGGACAAUUAUUUAUAGCCUCUGGCUAUAGGAAAUUGUUAGUGGCAGACGGGUGAGUAAUGCGUAGGAAUCUACCUAGUAGUACGGAAUAGCCAUUAGAAAUGGUGGGUAAUACUGUAUAAUCCCCGAGGGGGAAAGAUUUAUCGCUAUUAGAUGAGCCUACGUUAGAUUAGCUAGUUGGUGAGGUAAUGGCUUACCAAGGCUAUGAUCUAUAGCUGGUCUGAGAGGACGAUCAGCCACACUGGAACUGAGAUACGGUCCAGACUCCUACGGGAGGCAGCAGUGGGGAAUAUUGGACAAUGGGCGAAAGCCUGAUCCAGCUAUGCCGCGUGAGUGAAGAAGGCCUUC
RNAcentral lists this ribosomal RNA (388 nucleotides) under Ehrlichia canis. Its description in RNAcentral is "bacterial SSU rRNA". It matches the Rfam family "Bacterial small subunit ribosomal RNA", at positions 26 to 419 of the family's 1533-position model. The record is from RNAcentral. Lineage: Bacteria; Pseudomonadati; Pseudomonadota; Alphaproteobacteria; Rickettsiales; Anaplasmataceae.